This 24-nucleotide non-coding RNA is filed under the name Arabidopsis thaliana (thale cress). Lineage: Eukaryota; Viridiplantae; Streptophyta; Magnoliopsida; Brassicales; Brassicaceae. The record is from RNAcentral.
CUACAUAUAGUUCUUCAGACAAUG